UACGGAGGGUGCAAGCGUUAUCCGGAUUUACUGGGUUUAAAGGGUGCGUAGGCGGUCCCUUAAGUCAGUGGUGAAAGCUCCGAGCUUAACUCGGAAACUGCCAUUGAUACUAUAGGUCUUGAAUUCGGUCGAGGUUGGCGGAAUGUGUCGUGUAGCGGUGAAAUGCUUAGAUAUGACACAGAACACCGAUUGCGAAGGCAGCUAGCUAGACCGACAUUGACGCUGAGGCACGAAAGCGUGGGGAUCAAACAGG
Molecule: ribosomal RNA, 253 nt
Filed under: uncultured bacterium
Lineage: Bacteria
Description: partial 16S ribosomal RNA
Rfam family: Bacterial small subunit ribosomal RNA
Source: RNAcentral